AAGUCGUAACAAGGUCUCCGUAGGUGAACCUGCGGAGGGAUCAUUCAUGAAUGACCACGGUCUUCAACCAUUCUACCCUUGUGGAGUACCAGUCGUGCCUUCGGCCCUCUGGGCCGGCUUUAAUGCGGUUGACUUUGUCUGACACAUUGAUGAAAAUCAAAACUUUCAACAAAGGAUCUCUUGGCUCUUGCAUCGAUGAAGAACGCAGCAAAGCGCGAAAUGUAUUGUGAAUUGCAGAAUUUGUGAAUCAUCGAAUCUUUGAACGCACAUUGUGCCUCUUGUUAGAGAGGCAUGCCUGUCUGAGUCUCAUUUAACCUAAAUCCAAUUAUGGGUUUGUGUUGGGCGUUUGCCCCUCGGCGUCGCCUCAAAGUCAUCUGGCUGACGAGUGGAGGAGAUCCCCUAGGACUGACCAUUUGUCUAGCCAUUAAAAGCAUCUCUGAUUUUGAGCUCAGAUCAGGUGGGACUACCGCCUGAACUUAA
This 480-nucleotide ribosomal RNA is filed under the name uncultured fungus. Its description in RNAcentral is "eukaryotic LSU rRNA". The stretch from base 161 to 309 matches the Rfam family "5.8S ribosomal RNA". The record is from RNAcentral. Lineage: Eukaryota; Fungi.